UACGAAGGGGGCUAGCGUUGCUCGGAAUCACUGGGCGUAAAGCGCACGUAGGCGGAUUGCUAAGUCAGGGGUGAAAUCCUGGGAGCUCAACUCCAGAACUGCCUUUGAUACUGGCAACCUUGAGUCCGGGAGAGGUGAGUGGAACUGCGAGUGUAGAGGUGAAAUUCGUAGAUAUUCGCAAGAACACCAGUGGCGAAGGCGGCUCACUGGCCCGGUACUGACGCUGAGGCACGAAAGCGUGGGGAGCAAACAGG
This 254-nucleotide ribosomal RNA is filed under the name uncultured bacterium. Its description in RNAcentral is "partial 16S ribosomal RNA". It matches the Rfam family "Bacterial small subunit ribosomal RNA", at positions 524 to 776 of the family's 1533-position model. The record is from RNAcentral.